ACAGAGUCGAGAGAGAGGGAGAGAGGGGUCCAUGGCGACUUGGAGCUCUCCUAUCCGGCGGCUUAGUUCACUAGGGUGGUCGUCAGGCGUCCAACGUUCUUCCUCCAGCUGCCCCCUGGCUAUCCCCGCACGGAAGUCUGCAGCAUCUCUCGGGCACCGCACCCACCUGGCCCCCAAUUUUCCCCCGCCGGCAUUUCUGGCCUGAUCCUGUGAUUUGGUAUGUUCGUCAAUUUUGGCAUGAUCCUCCUUCCUGUUGUUAGUUGUGUGUACUGUUUUAUGGUUAGAUCUAUCCCCUUUCGUCUGUUGAGUGUGGUAUUUCCCCUGUAGCUAGUUUAGAUGCAUGUGGUUUGCGUUGUUUACUGUCAUUGAAUCUGGUGAAUUCGGCUGGUUGAUAUGCGCCUGGAUUUUCCCUUGCAGCUAGGUAUUUCAAUUUGGACACGUUGAAAUCAUGUUCAGUGAGUUCAAUCCCCUGGAACACGCUGGAUUCUCUAGUGUUUUAUAUACCCUGUGCCGUUUGCUGAUGUAGGUUUGUAUGUAUUGUUUCAUUGCCUAUCUAUCACUAUGAGAUUGCUAUAGAUUGUCCAUGUCCUGAUUGCCUGGUUUAAUGGGGGAUUGCUUUGGCUAUUUGUUAGUGUAAUUUUAGUGUUUUGUAAGUCAAUUUACACUGCAUUUUUUACUGUAAUUCUUUGCUGAUUUACAUUGCAUUAGUGGAUUUACUGUGUAUUUUUCAGUGGAUUUGCACUGUAAUCCUUAGUGGAAUUACAGUGUAUUUUCUUAGUGGAUUUACACUGUAAUUUUAUUUUGGAAAUACACUGUAAUUCUUACUGGAUUUUUAGUGGCUUUUACAGUGUAAUUCUCAGUGGAUUUACAAAAUGUAAUAGUUGUUUUUACAACGUAAUUUUCAGUGGAUCGGCACUGUAAUUCUUGAUUGAUCUUGUAAUUCGUUAGUGGAGUUACAGUGUAAGUCUCAGUUAAUUUACAGUGUAAUUCCUAGUGCUUUUUCGACUGUAUUUAGUUGAUUUUUACAGCGUAAUUUUUCAGUGGAUUUACACUGUAAUUUCUAGUGCAUUUUCUUAGUGGAUUCACAAAUGUAAUACUGCAUUUGCUAGUGGUUUUUACAGCGUAAUCUUCAGUGGACAGACACUGUAAUUCUUGAGUGCUCUUGUAAUGCAAUUCUUUAGUGGAUUUACAGUGUAAGUCUCACUUGAUUUACAGUGUAUUUCCUAGUGUUUUUGGACUGUAUUUAGAUGAUUUUUACAGUGUAAUUCGUCAGUGGAUUUACACUGUAAUUCUUAGUGCAUUUUGCAAUGUAUUAGUUGAUUCCAAGUGGAUUUUUACAGUGUAAAUCUCAGUGUAGUCACGCCGUAAUUCUUUUGUGGUUUUACUCUGUAAACUCUUACUGCCAUGGUACUGUAUUUACUUAUCUUAUCGGUGAUUUUUACACUGGUUCAUAUUGGAUUUUUUGUGUGAUGUACUGGAAGCGUGAGCUUUUUGGUGGCUCUCGCUUGCCUUUGUGGCUCUGAAAUAAGAUGAUGGCUGAUAUGAGCCCGUGUCUACAUGCCCAGACCUUGCCAAUGGGUGUGUGAAGUGUGGCUUGCAUCCACGUGGCGGCUUGCUUGUUUCGAUUGAUGUGUGCUUGCAAUGAGUUUUGAAAUACUAGUAGUACUUAAGAAGCAGUUUUUGUCUAUGUGGCUGCAGUGUAAAUGUGAUCCUCUCCUCUUACGAGUGUUUGGCAUGUAGUAUUUUGAACUAAAAAGCACUUGUUUCUGCCUGUGAGCUUGCUAAGUAUACAUUUCAUAUGAGCAGGCAACCCUUUACAUUCCAUAUUUUCUAGGUGGUUGUUUAUGCUUUUCAGUUUUGUGUUCUUUCAGUUAUUGGUUCAGCUAGUGCUUGUUUAUGUUGUUUGGGAGAGGGAGUUGUUGAAAUUUUCAGGGCCAUUUACGGUGGAAUUACAGCAGUUUUCAAUGUUGGUUCACUGUAGAUCACAUUGUAAUCCAACUGCAAUUAUACUGUAAUUCAACUGUCAUUUGCACUAUAAUACUACUGCUUUUUCCUCUGUAAAUUUAAUGUCAAAUGUCACUGGGAAUUAUAGUAGUUCUAUGUAUAUUGCACUAUAUUUGUGAUGUAAUUAGAUUGUAUAUUACAUUGUAAAUCUUUUGCAAUUGCACUGUAAAACUCACAACAUUUCUACUGUAGUUGUAUUUCUACUAUAAAUUAGACUGUAAAUCUAUUCAAAUUACACUGCAGAUCACACGAUUAAUCUACUUGUUACACUACAAUUCUACUAUAUUUGUUACAAUGUAAAUUCCAUUGUAAAUCUACUAUAAAUUAUACUGUAAAUCUUCUGAAAUUACAGUGUAAAACACACUUUGAAUUUACUCUAUUGUAUUUAAAACAUCGUAAUUGUAUUUGUAAAUUACAUUCUAAUUGUACUGUGUUUAUACUGUAUUUUACACUGCAAUUCUACUGUAAAUCUACUGUAAAAUACAGUGUAAUUUAAACUGUAAAACUGUCUUCUACUGUAAUUCAACUCCGAAUGUAUUGUUUCAGAGUGACUUAAAUGUGUGAGUUCAGUUCAUCAUGUGUGAUGGUUACGUUUUUAUCUUCAAAGUUUACUGUAGUUGUUCCUUUUUUCCUGUAAUUGUUACUGGACUAAAAUGAUUUACUGUUUCCGUUUUACUUUGCUUACAGUCCAACUAUGUGAUAGUUUCCUGUACUGAGAUCUUAUAUUUCUGCUACAUUUAUCAGUAUAAUUUCUGCUUCUCUUUGCCAUUCAUGUUUGAAAGUUCUAAUGUAUAUAUGGUUUGCAGUUCUUUAGUAGUUUUAUUUUCCCUGUAAUCUUAAUGUAAUAUGUUUCCUGAUGUACACUUGUCUUUGUUUCUUUCUUUCAAUUUGGAGAAGCAUUUCAUGUCUUCUCUUUCUACCUUCAUAAAUGAGGGUAGUUGUUUUUCACUAUAGUCUUUUGCAUGAGUUACAAGAUCUGGUAGUCAUAUGCACAUGGCUAGAUAUGGUAUACAAAACUCAUUUUCUCUGUAAAGUUCGAUGAAAUUAUGAUCUAGAUGUGCUUCUAGUGUCUACUAGCUGUUAGAAGUGCUUCCAUUAUCUACCGGCUGCAGUCUCUGAACUAUUUUAUGUUCUCCUUUUUUUGUAACUUGUAACAGAAAAUUAAGGAUUCAUAAACAUCAUGUUGAUAUGAGGGAAUGCUGCAGUUGGAUUGAUGUACUUGACAGAAGCAUCAGGGACAGAGGUGAUUUAGGGAGGGCACCUGACAUGUGAUUAUUCCAUAGUGUAAAUUAGACUGGUCGUUUCAGUAACUUCAUUUUUUUACAUGUGAGAAUAGUGUCAGUGGCUGCACUUCCUAGUUUAGUUCAGGUGUUCGCUUUUACUGUAGUCUUCCUUACGCUUUUGUAUUUGGGCCUCAUGACGUUGUUAUAAGGAAGAGACUUGACACUGUUAGUGGACAGGAACUCUUGUCAAGUUGUAGUUGGUUGAAAAAAACGACUGAACUCCAAUUGGUUUUCAUCCGGCUGUAAAGUAGACAGUCCCUAUUUAUUUGCCCAAUAACCUUAUCCAUAUUGACGGCCAAUUUUGCUCUAAACAACAAAGCGGUGCAUAAGCAUUAGAAUACUUACCGUCAAAAAAAAAAAGCAUUAGAAUACUUAAAAGUCUUCUAUGCACCACAUGUUCCCUAUCCUCUUCGGUGGCACUGUACUUCGCCUUUUUCCUCAAAGUAAAUUGUAAGACCAAUUCCACUACCUCACAAGAGCAGCUAUGCAGUUGACUCCCUCUCCUACUUCAGAAAUGCACUAUAUUGAUAAUGCCAUGAGGUGAGAUUGGGGGGCGUCAGAAAUUUCAAUUUUAGGAGAAGAGAAAACAAAACGCACCGAAACUCCCACCCACUGAACUACAAAUCCGCACGCUGCACCUCCUCUGUCCCUCCAGCGAGCUGCAAAUGGCAGCGUGGCCAACUACACAGUGUCGCCACCGUGGGCGCAUGGCGAACUACAUGGCGUUGCCGCCCGCACUGCCCUGUCGUCGAGUGCCGGUGAAGUGGAGGUCGCCGCACAAUCCGAGGACGAGGAUGAGGGGAUCCGGCUGGAUCACGUGGCUACAGGCGCGGGGGCUCCGACGGUGGCCGGCGUCCACGGCCACUGGAGGCACUUGCGAGCAGGAGGCCCGAGCCGUGCUUGUAGGAGGCCGUCGGGGCGCGAGGUUGGACGGCCGAAGAUGCGCGGAGAGGCGCCGAUGCGGGGCAGCCUCCUCGAUCCCGGCGACCUGAGGGUCGCGAGGCACCGUGAAUGAACGGAUCAGGGCCAUCGGCGAGGGAGCAUGCGGGGGUCAACGGCGGCUGCUGCCCGAUCCCUUCUUCUUAUGGCGCGGCGGGGCCAGCUUCGCUCAGAUCUGUCGUCGAGGCAACGGAGCGGGGGGAGGGAAUUGGUUUCCAGGGGCCAGAUCAGUGUGCGGGAGGAAGGUAGCGGCGGGGUUGAGGCUUGCCCGGCGGAGUGGGGUGCAACGGUGGCGCCNNN
Molecule: long non-coding RNA, 4526 nt
Filed under: Triticum aestivum (bread wheat)
Lineage: Eukaryota; Viridiplantae; Streptophyta; Magnoliopsida; Poales; Poaceae
Description: long non-coding RNA (TAES_LNC014488)
Source: RNAcentral